UACGUAGGGUGCGAGCGUUAAUCGGAAUUACUGGGCGUAAAGCGUGCGCAGGCGGUUUCUUAAGCCCGUUGUGAAAUCCCCGGGCUUAACCUGGGAACUGCAUUUGUGACUGGCAAGCUAGAGUAUGGCAGAGGGGGGUAGAAUUCCACGUGUAGCAGUGAAAUGCGUAGAGAUGUGGAGGAAUACCGAUGGCGAAGGCAGCCCCCUGGGCCAAUACUGACGCUCAUGCACGAAAGCGUGGGGAGCAAACAGG
RNAcentral lists this ribosomal RNA (253 nucleotides) under uncultured bacterium. RNAcentral describes it as "partial 16S ribosomal RNA". It matches the Rfam family "Bacterial small subunit ribosomal RNA", at positions 524 to 776 of the family's 1533-position model. The record is from RNAcentral.